AGGACGAACGCUGGCGGCGUGCUUAACACAUGCAAGUCGAGCGGAAAGGCCCUUCGGGGUACUCGAGCGGCGAACGGGUGAGUAACACGUGAGCAACCUGCCCUGGACUUUGGGAUAACCCUCGGAAACGGGGCUAAUACCGAAUAUUCACUACUUGUCGCAUGGUUUGUGGUGGAAAGUUUUCGGUCUGGGAUGGGCUCGCGGCCUAUCAGCUUGUUGGUGGGGUGAUGGCCUACCAAGGCGACGACGGGUAG
This 254-nucleotide ribosomal RNA is filed under the name uncultured soil bacterium. Its description in RNAcentral is "partial 16S ribosomal RNA". It matches the Rfam family "Bacterial small subunit ribosomal RNA", at positions 26 to 286 of the family's 1533-position model. The record is from RNAcentral.